GUACACGCUGUGACUAGCAUAUCAAUAAGGCGGAGGAAAAGAAACUAACAAGGAUUCCCCUAGUAACGGCGAGUGAAGCGGGAAGAGCUCAAAUUUGAAAUCUUAAAGGGUUUCCCUUUACGAAUUGUAGUUUAAAGAAGUGUUUUCUGUUGAGGUUUUGGUAAAAGUUCUUGGAAUAGGACAUCAUAGAGGGUGAGAAUCCCGUAUUUGACCUUUACUUUCAACUUUGUGAUACACUUUCAAAGAGUCGGAUUGUUUGGGAAUGCAGUCCAAAAUGGGUGGUAAAUUUCAUCUAAAGCUAAAUAUUGGCGAGAGACCGAUAGCGAACAAGUACCGUGAGGGAAAGAUGAAAAGAACUUUGAAAAGAGAGUUAAACAGUACGUGAAAUUGUCAAAAGGGAAGCGUUUGACACCAGUGUUGUUUUUCUGAAAAUCAAUUAAAGAACUGUUUAUGCUAAGUUGUUUAGACUUUAUCAGCUAACUGUUUAGUUUUGAGCCUUUCUUUAAUGCACUUUUCAGUUAACAAGUCAACAUCAAUUUCUUUUGCUGUAAAAAAGCUUGAGGAAGGUGGCUUGAGAUUCGUCUUAAGUGUUUAUAGCCUCUUGCCUAUGCAGUCGGAGAGAUUGAGGUCUGCAGCGUAGAUCCUUCGGGGCUAAAUGCAUUUGUGCUAAGUUAUAGCAUUUUAUAGACAACUUGUUGACUAUGAUCUGUCUUGUAGCUUACUCGCUUAUGUUAUUUUACCUACGCUUAGGAUGUUGACAGCAGUAUAGACUGU
Molecule: ribosomal RNA, 774 nt
Filed under: uncultured Neocallimastigales
Lineage: Eukaryota; Fungi; Neocallimastigomycota; Neocallimastigomycetes; Neocallimastigales
Description: partial large subunit ribosomal RNA
Rfam family: Eukaryotic large subunit ribosomal RNA
Source: RNAcentral